AGGAAGUAGGCCAGGAAGCCGCUGAGCAGGAACAGCAGGACGUACAGGAGCUCCACCUGCGGGCGGUCAACGACGGGCGCCAGCACCAGGCAGAGCGCGGCCACGACCAUGACGGCAGGAACGAAGCUGCGUAGCACACACGGCUGCCACUGAAGAACACCACAUUGGCGGAACCAAAUGCCGAGAGUGAGGCCGACACAGGCAUCAGCCAGGCCCAGGACCCCAGGACCUGGUUCCUAGGACAACAGAGCAAUCAAAGGAAGGCAUUCUGGCUGCAACCCAGAGCACAUCAGAGGCAAGGUCCAACACACGCAAAGCGUAUCCAUCCCACCUCGGGUCAUCUAUCUGACAUCCAAGGACACAGCGUUGAUCACUCACCCCCAGCUCACAGCCACAGCCUCGGAGGAAACGAUCUCUUGGGGCGACAGCACCAGGAGGGACCCGGAGGCAGGCUGAGGACGUGCUCUCCAUCACCUGGAGCAACCACAGUACAGCUGCUCUCAGCACUCUAACCCAACCCGCCUGCUGUGAGUCGGUGCACACUGACACUGCAGAGCCCAGAGGCGCCUCACGAUCCCCCUCCAGGGCGCCUCUGCCAAGACUCAGAGAGCUGAAAUAUCCUUAAGUCAGUCUUGGGGCUGUUUUUAUUCUAAAAGAACUGAAAACUCCUGCAGGGAAAAUGCAAAAACAAAACAACUGACAUCCUGAGCAAAUACAUUUAUAGUGAAGGGUUAGUAUCCUAACUCAUCAAAGAUCCAUGUGCCCCAGCUGAGCCCCAAGCUGCCCAGCACACCUGUCUCCCACCUCGGCAAUGACAAGUCUGCCCCAGGUUCACAGGUGGAAUGGGCCUGCAGGACUGGCUUAUUGUCCUGUCCCAAAGUACACCACGUCCAGUAGCCGCCCCCCAGGCUCUGGCAACUGCAAGUUAAGUGUCUACUACAAAGAUCUGGAUAGAACAAGCCAGGAGUAUCAAGCAGAGUCACCAAGCCUCUUCUGAGCGGUACAAAGUAAAGCUAAUUUCCCUGCCCUAUGCCUCAGUUACCCACAUGAGGAAAUGGAAUAAUGGAGACCUUCCUCACAGGGCAGAGACACAAGAUUGUGGUUGGGAUACGAUAAAGUACUCUGCUUUCUCGAGAAUCUGUGUCCUACACAGCUGGUCACAGCAGACUGGGGCCCAGUGCCCAGGUCCUGUGUGCACAGCACAGGAGCCCGUCCCCGUGGCCUCAGUCACCCCAGACGUGGCACUGCUCGUGUCCAAGAUUCACCCCUGGCGCAGCACUGAGGACUCACCUUUGGCUUCUUGAGCUCCUCCACCACGCUGUGAAUGGUAUUCCAGCCAUCGAAAGACCACAGCCCCUGGUAGAACGCCAUGCCAACCUGGCCCACCUGGCGUGUGGUGUUGUGGAAGGCGAACUGAAACGCUUCUGUGCGGCCUCGGCCCUGGCCCAGCACCACAGCCCCACCCGCCACGAUGACCAGCAGUGAAAACAGCUUAGCGGCCGAGCACACGUUGGUCAGCAUGGUGGCCAGCCACGCGCUCCACACAUUGGCCAGCAUCAGCACCAGGAUGCAGGAGGCGGCCAUACUCUUGAUCCCCGCCGGGGGCACUGAGAGGCAGCCCGGGUAGAAGGGAGCCAGCGCGUACUCAGCCAGGCUCAGAGAGACAGCAGCAAUCCCGGCUGGUUUCCUCACCAGCUCCAGGAGGUAAAUUACCAGGAAGGCUGGCAAGGAGCCGAAGGUUCGCAGGAUGUAGGCGUACUCCCCUCCUGCUUCAGGAAACAGAGCGCCCAGCUCAGCGUAGCACAGGGCUCCAAGCAGGGACAGGAGGCCACACACUGCCCAGACCACCAGACUGGCCCCGGGACUGCCCAUGUAGACCAAGACCCCCUGCGGUGACAUGAAAAUGCCAGAGCCGAUCAUGCAGCCAGUAACCAUGGACACGGCACUCCACAGCCCGAUCUGCCUCCGCAGGGUCAGCCCUGGGCCAGCCGCCUGGCCACCGUCACCUCUGCUGUCCAUUCUUUGCAUCUCAGAACUUCAACAGAUACUGCCUCCGGGUGGCAAGAGGCAGGGGCUCUGGUACCUCUUUCGGGCUUCCUGAAGGAGUUAAUGAUUACAGCAUGACACUCUGAGCGGACGGUCAAAGAGCCAGGGUGUGGUUGAGAAGCGCUGACCUGGAGCGCACCUGUCCAGCCCGUCUCUGCCAGCGAGCUGUCUGCACGGGCUGCGGUCAGCACAGCAAAUGUCGACGUUAAGUAUGCUUCUGUUGUGUUUUUUAUUUUGCAGUGGCCUGGGUUUGAGGCCAGGGUCUCACACGUGCUAGGCAAGCACUCUACCGCUGAGAAAACUCCUGGCCCUUUCUGUGCCGAGACAGGCUCCUGUGACAUUGCUGACUUCAAAAUUAGCCAGGCUCCCUCUCAGCCUCCUGAAUAACUGGGAUGACAGGCAUUCAUCCUCGGGGCCAACAAGAGUUUCAAUAGAAUUUAACGCUGUGGUUUGACUGGUAGGGUAAUUGGUUCACAUGCACAAGACCCUAGGUUUGAUGCUUAGGACUAACACAAACAGACGGACAGACAGAAAGGUGGAAGGAGGAAAGCAGGGAGGGGGGGAAAAGAAAGCCCGUGUGGAUUCCACAGCAGCAUUGCCCGGGAUGACAGACGAGAGCUCCAUGCCACGAGCACCGAGCAGCUGCGCCUGGGCACCUAAGACACCUCGGCAACAUCUUCCCAGCCAGUCGAUCAGAAAACAGGGAUUGCAAAGCAGAUGGCGGAUGAACUCUGCCUGAAAGAAGAGCCCGGAAGAUCACAGCAGCGGGUCCCAGUAGAGAGACCCGAGUACCCCAGCAGGGAUGGGAGUACACAGCCCUCCAAGGGAGGAGGUGGCUGAGGGCACACAGCCUCUGGAGUGAGACUGUUCGGCUCAGGUGCCGGCUCUGGGGCCUCAGAGUCGAGUGACCUAGACAAGGUCCUUGAGCUUCACGUUACUUCACGUUACUUCACGUUACUGUAAUAGGAGGACCUAUUACACAUUGCUGGAAGGGUUAAAAAAAUAGCCCAUUCAAAGCAUCUAGAAUAUCUAUAACACAUAGAAAAGGUUUGUUCAAAGUUCGUUGGUUUUGUCAUUAGUUUUUUGUUUCCGUUUUGCUUUUUGAGACAGGGUCUCACUAUGAACUUGAACUUACUAUGAAGCCUCAGCUGGCUUUAACCUUGUGGUGAUCCUCCUGCUUCAGCCUCCCAAGUGCUGGGAUUACAGACAUGCCACCCCAUCCCAUUACUAUCUGGCUGAGAGUUUCAUCAGUGCAGCUAGGAAAGAGGGCCUUUCUUAAGGCCAGCAGAUAAGAAGACCUGAGACAUGGUGUGUACCUGUACCUGCCCUUGUGAGGAACACAAUCAUGAUGUAUUACAAACAUACACAAAAAUAAAAAUUAAAAACAUAUAA
Molecule: long non-coding RNA, 3438 nt
Organism: Cavia porcellus (domestic guinea pig)
Lineage: Eukaryota; Metazoa; Chordata; Mammalia; Rodentia; Caviidae
Exons: 4
Source: RefSeq, a predicted model, not a curated record